Long non-coding RNA from Dermacentor silvarum, 476 nucleotides. RefSeq lists it as uncharacterized. The record is from RefSeq and is a predicted model, not a curated record. The transcript has 3 exons. NCBI's taxonomy places the organism in Eukaryota, Metazoa, Arthropoda, Arachnida, Ixodida, Ixodidae.
AUUUCGUAAAUGUACUCAUUAGCAACACGAGAAAACUUGUAGAGCGCCAUGAAAACUUUGGCUAUAUUGGUAUUCUUGAUGGUGGCAGCAUAUGCAGUGACAGCCUCGCCUCACGAUCGUGAGCGCAAGGAACGCGGUGAAUCUGAGUUCGGAAGGCACCAUGGCAGGCACCACGGACACCACCACCGUUUUAAUCACACCAGGAGUGGAAAUGAAACGUCCUCUACGGCGCAGCCCCAAGUGACGACUGUGAGCGCCGAAGAAACCACAAAUUCAACAACUCAGGACAAUGCAAAUGGAACGGUCUCAAACAGCGCUCCCACGAUGUCUACUACAUGAUGUCCGCGACAGGAUGCUUGGGCGAGCUAUGAAGCGAUGUGCUUCCCAGUCAGUUAGCCAAAAAGGAAAUGUUAUGUUCUUGAAAGGAUUCUAUUCUAUCCAGUCAAAAUGAGAUAAUAAAGAGCCUGGGAAUUCUU